CUAAUUAAAAACUGCAGUGUGGAUGGUUAUUUGACAAUGGUUGUGGAAAAAGGCCAAUAAGGUCGGUAAAAUCUCGUGGCAACUUUAAAUGGGUCAAAUUUAGGCUGGAAACAGAGCAAUUGAUGAAAAAAGUUGGUCACGAUCUGAAUUUUGAAUUUGUUUUCAAAGUAAGAAAGCGAAUUAUUAAACCCGAAAUUUAGUGAUCAUACUUACUUAUAAGAGCGUGGUCUACAAAUCCACCGCUAAAAGCCAUCACAAGCCAAGAAGUUUUCUGAUUGUCACAUACACGUUUCAUGAUCGACGAGGAGGAUGAUGAUGGUGAGAAAUCGCGACUCGCUCUGCCAAAAUACUGCAGCUUAGGAAUCACGUUUCGCAUCAUCUUGCUCACAGAAUCGCUAAAUUAGGGUUUCUGAUUCAGAGUCUUCGAAUUGAUAAAUUAGGGUUUCAGCCCUGUCCG
Molecule: long non-coding RNA, 457 nt
Organism: Arabidopsis lyrata subsp. lyrata
Lineage: Eukaryota; Viridiplantae; Streptophyta; Magnoliopsida; Brassicales; Brassicaceae
Exons: 2
Source: RefSeq, a predicted model, not a curated record